GACGAACGCUGGCGGCGUGCUUAACACAUGCAAGUCGAACGAAGUGGCGAACGGGUGAGUAACACGUGGGUGACCUGCCCUGCACAUCGGGAUAAGCCUGGGAAACUGGGUCUAAUACCGGAUAGUGUGGGAGGGGGCGGCGGCCUAUGAGCUUGUUGGUGGGGUAAUGGCCUAGCAAGGCGGCGACGGGUAGCCGGCCUGGGAGGGUGGACGGCCACAUUGGGCCUGGGAAACGGCCAAGACUCCUACUGGAGGCAGCAGUGAGGAAUAGUGGACAAUGGGCGGAAGUCUGAAGCAGGGACGCCGGGUGGGAGAUGACGGCCUUCGGGUUGUAAACGCCUUUCACCAUCGACGCGGUAGAUGAAGAAGAAGCACCGGCUAACUACGUGCCAGCAGCCGCGGUAAUUC
RNAcentral lists this ribosomal RNA (408 nucleotides) under uncultured bacterium. RNAcentral describes it as "partial 16S ribosomal RNA". It matches the Rfam family "Bacterial small subunit ribosomal RNA", at positions 28 to 526 of the family's 1533-position model. The record is from RNAcentral.